GACAUAGAGAAAGAGGGUAAGAAAAAGCCCUCCCUUGCUUCAAGAAGCGAUAGCAGGUAUGUGCAUUUUCUGCUCUCCAAUUUGCAGAUGGUUUCUAAAAGAGGAUCAAAAUGUGCUCCCUUUCGUAAUGGCCCUCUUAAGGAAGAAGACACACUUGUCAGACGAACAAAGCCUGAUUUUUCUCAAUGCCACCUCCAGUCAUUCUGCUCAAGUAGUUGUUGUCGACCACUCAACCUUUUAUUUUUUAUUAACCUAGAAAUGCAAUAGAAAGCGUGAUGCCAGGUCAGGCCAAAUACAAAAGGUUUAUUAACAAAUAGGGAUCACAGUGUUGUUCCUGAGUGUAACUAAAUACUACAGUGACCAGGGCCGGAUUUAGGUUUGAUGAGGCCCGAAGCUACUAAAGGUAAUGGGGCCCUUUAUAUGUCCAGCUGUCCUUUGUCAACAACAAAUUGCCGCUGUUUUUUAUGUUGAAUAUAUGCUAUAUGGAAAUGAGCAAACCAGUAAUAUUUGAGGGAGGAGGCUAGCAGGCGGGGCCCAUGACUUGCAUCAUAGGAGCCUACACAACACAAAACACUGUUGCUGAUAUGUAGGUUUUAUUUUAUUUGUUUUUUAUCUUAUAUUUUGGAAAUGUACAUCCAGGUUUUUUCCCUUUAAUUUUUUUGGGGGGCCCCCAAGAGAGUGGAGCCCUAAACUAUAGCUUGUUUAGCUUAUACGUAAAUCUGGCACUGACAGUGACUGACAUAUGCACUGGAUAUAUAACUCAAGGUGCUUUGAUCAAAAUUAUGAGAGUCUCCGGUUGAAAACAGCAGAAACUGAUGUAUAAUGUACCCACGUUUCAAGGGGGUGGCAGUGGAAAUACAAUGCCCAAUGCCAACUACUCGGAUUGCACACUGCCACACAAAAGCAGGGCUGUCAGAGGGGAGAGACUGCCAGCUGUCGUGCUUUCACUGGCCCAGGUGGCAAUGGCUAGCGGCCAUGCUGAGGGGGGGCCCAGGCCAGGGUUGGCAGAGGCCUGUAGGUGGCGCUGUGCCAAAGGCCAACUCAAACCUGGCAAUGGGAAAAGCUGCCCCUCUGCCCUGGGCAAGUGCCCACCUCUCUCCCCGUUCCUGUUUCUUGUAUGUCAUGUUUCACUGGAUUGCAAGCUUUCAAGCAAGCAGUGCUUUUAAUGGGCUUUUGAUUUUGGUACAGUGUCUAGCAUAAAAUAUUUAACCUGCGACACCAUCAUCAUCAUGAGCAAAAUGCAACAAACACCAUGUUAGCACAGCAAAGGAGCACAUGCCAGCAUGUUUCAGUUAAUUGCCGCCAAAUGCUUGGGCAAAUAUCUGGGACUGAAUGAUAACUAAGUUAAUGCCAGAUGAACAGUUUGGGCGAAGGAGUCCCAAGAACUCUUCCCGGGAGCCAGCUGUCUUGUCUCAAAAGGCACAUUUUAUUUUUGAGAGUAUGAGUUGUAGGCGUGAUGGGAAGUUCCCCCUACAAAAUUUAAAAAACUGCAUUUUCUAUACUUUAUAAUAGACAUCACUACAAAAAAAUCACCAUGCAUUGAAAGAAACUGGAGAGUCAGAUUUUUCUUUUCUUUUCAGAGCUUAACAUUGCUAAGUUGAGCCUUAAAUAUUUCAGUGUGGCAUUUUGAACUGACAAGCAUGGAAAUGUGAAACCUGGAUGGCAAGUAGCUCCUGAUUACCCCCUGCUAUGUCCUAUGUUCAAAAAAGAAGCAGAAAAAAGAAAUGAAAACAAGAUGCUCCUCUAGAAGGUAAUAGAAUUACAUAAUCUUUGCUUUAAAAAUGCAUGCAAGAUAUCUCAGCCUGUCACAGGUAGAAGGUGUUUAUGGCACAUCUGGACAGAUGCAAAAGAGUUUGCAGGCAGCAGAGGUUAGGCCUCGGCUCCUACCAGCUUUGCUCUGCUGCCUGCUUCCCAACACAACCACCAGAGAAAAAGUCCAGCAAGGGGAUAUCAAAAAUUAUUUUAACAGAAAGCCCAACUGUUUUUUGGGCUAAGCUAACCUUCUUUUGGGUAUGUUAAGGGCAGUUUAAAAUCACAGGCCUGGUAUUUUGAACCAUAACUCCCAUUACCCCUAACUAGCAUAGCCAGUAGUCAGGAAUGAUGGGAGUUGUAGUCCAAAACAUUUGACCAGCACCAGGCUGGGGGAGGCAUAGGCGCUGGGUACCGCCCAAUUUCGGGGGGUGGGGGUGGCGCACAUGUCAUGUGGUGGGAGGAGGUCGCAGCUGUGAGUAGACCCAGUGGGGCUGCAGGUACACCCAAGAGUCCCAGGUACCAUAGAAGUCCUAGAAGGGUAGUGGGUGGUGUGAUAGGGGAGAUCCCCAGGAAAGACUGAAGUGGGGAAAAGCCACCCCUCCAACCCCAAAUCCUGAUGAUGAGAGUUGGCCUAUGCCCCACCCCCACAGACCUCUGCGCAUACAGUGAUGAUCUCUCCAUUAACUUGCAAAGAUGAAGGCAUAGAUCCAUGUGAAAAAUUUACACAGUUUUUGAUCUUUCUCCCCAAAUCACUGUGAUUGGAGUGGAGGGGAAAUCAUUCACUGUGACUGAAAUCUAGAUCUCAGCUUCUGGGUUCUUCCCCAACCAAACUGGCCUCUCUCCACGGUUGGGGGAUGCGUUUUUUCACAGGCAAAGGCACAGAGGCACUCAGAAACUGAAAAAGUCCCUGAUCAGCCUUGAGACAACUUUUGAAUGACACAAUCUGACCUGGAAACAUGAGAACCUUCCCUGAUUCAUCCCAAUUUGCCUUGUGAUUUGGAGUGCCCACAAAAUCAGUACCAACCCCUAAUAUAUGUAUAAAACCAGGACAGAACAGAAAACAACAUGCCACAGCCUAUUAACAUGCCGGUUAUGGAAAAUAUUCAUGACUCAAUAGUGCAUACAAUUGGAUUGACUCUAAAGCUACAGAGAGAAAAGCAUUUUGAAAUUUACAUUUGGAUUAUCUGCACUUAGACAAAUUCUCUUUGCAGCAAUAUUUCUGUCAGAAACAAAUGGGGGAGAAGCUGAUGCUAUUGUCAUAUUGCCAUGAAAUCUAAGUAGAGCUUUUGCUAAGUCAAACCUAAUGCACAUUACUUUCUAUGUCACACACACACACAGAGAGAGAGAGAGAGAGAGAGAGUGCUGAAUGGGAAAGAUGACUUGCAAAUUUAUUUCCAACAAAAUAGACCUGGAAUGUGUCCCAGAGCUCAGCACAUGCAAGAUGACUAAUGAUGUAGCACUCCUAACAGAUACUAUUAGUUUUGAAAGCCACCUACAGCGCUGGUAGUUUCAAACAGCUUGUGAUAUACAUAACAAGACACGCAGACGUGAAUUAGAUUCACUAAGGCAUUCCCUAUAAACAGAAACACAGGAUGAACCUUUACAUAUAAUUUAUCCAUUACUUCUGUUACGGAAAUUAUGGGGGGCGGGGCACAUCUUUAAAGUUAAAUGUUACAAAUAUUAUGCCUGAAUGUAUCCUUUCAACUUGACAGCUCAGGGAAGUUACCUAGCUUUAAAAAUAAUAUAAAAUCAACCCCUUUCCCAGUUUCCUCCAUUCCAAAGCUAUUUCCCCCUUGAAAAAGGACUCCAGGAAGUUCCCAGAGGUGACAAUUGCUGGUGUCAUUGUUAGCCAAAGGAAGCCAAAUCUCAUCACCUGAGUCGCCUCAGGAUCCAGACAUGCAAAGGAACUUCUAUUGUACUUUUGGGUGGUGGGUACUUAAGACAUAUUUGUCUAUGCUAAUCUUAUACCUGAGUCUUGCCCUGCCAUAUCUGCCUAUGCUAAUCUCGUACCAAGGACUUGUCUGGACAUGUUUGCCAAGGUUAACCCCUCCCCUUUUGUGACAUGUCAGUGAUGUAGCAAUGAUGUAGCAAUGAUGCUGUACGAAUUGUAUUCUGGGAUACGGUGGGAAAGUUUUAAAAGUCUGGUGACUGAGCUGCCUCACACCUAGAUUUUUCCGUAACACUUACCUCACAGGACUCUCAGAUUAGAUAGCAUGAAUUUAUGGUAUUCAUUGAUGGGUUGGGAUGCACAAGAUGGGUUGAGGUCUCAAUAGCAGUCACAUGCUGCCAGAAUAACAUAGGAACUGGGCAAGUAUCUCCACAUAAGGAAUUCCUCUAAGCGUUCACCAGCCUGGAGUGGACAUCUUAUUCCUGAAGGAGAAGGUUGUCCUAUACAUUUCUAUGAGCUUUGUAUGAUCUAACAGACGGCAGGGCUGCAUUGAAUAUUCAAUACUCACUUUGGAAAUAGGACAUUUAGCACACAGAAAAAUCGCCAAAAAUUAGCAACAGGAAUUCGUAGUCCGCCAAAUAUUUGCAGUUCCAAUGCUACUUGACAUUAAUUUUUUUCCCCUGGCUGUGACUGCAGUGCGGUGAGGGCAGAGGCACAGAACUGCCCUCCCCCUGCCCCUGGCAUCAUUGCAGUUUGCCGAGACAGGACUGGAGCAGGGGGUCAGCAGGGGCAGGGCUAGGUGGGUGCUUUGGUUCCUCAUCCUCCUGGGAAGAAAGGGCCACACGGAGUGCUACAGGGCUCUGUCCUGGAACCAUUGUUGUUCAAUGUCUUUAUAAACGACUUGGAUGAAGGAAUUGAGGGGAUGUCCCCACUAAAUGCUAGAAAUUGGGAAAUGAUCAGAUUUUGAUUCUUUGGAGUAUUGAAGUGAAGACUGGAGACCAGGCUAAGCUUUCUUUCCAAGCCAGGGCUUCACCUUGGAUAGAGGCAUGAACAUAACAAAAAGGUGUUGAUGGCCCAUCUAAGAGGAAUCUUGGGUCUGGGCAGACAGAGGUUUCCAGGGUAACUGGGAGUGAGGGGACAGGAAAAGAGCAUCUUUAGCAAGGUGUGCUGGGAAGAAGAAGCAGAAGAACAAAGAAUGAGAUCCUUCUUGGGCACGCUUGGAUUCCAGGGCUGCACUGCUGUGGGGAACAAGCCCCUCUUGAGAUGACCAUGCUGUAAGAUCAGGACUCCCUCCAUGCAGACUGAAGGUGAAAAUUGGUGAAUAAAUCAUAUUUUGUAAAGCUACAACAGGGUGAUGGCCUGGGACUCAGGCUCGGACUCGGAGCCAGAGGAGUCUCAGUCCACACCGGAUCCUUUGCCUCAGGUGGCAGCUAAACCUAGUCUGGGGCCUGAUUCUGAAGAGCCCCAGUCUGCACAGGUUCCUCUGCAACAACUCCAGCUGGGCUGAGUCAGGGGCCUGAGCCUGUACUGGCUCCAGAUGCGGGGAUGACCUUGUUGUCUCCAGCUGGGCAAUCACUUACAGCUGCUCCACUACCAGUUGGGUCAGGAGAGGCUGAGGCGGCCUCUGGGUCUAGUAACCCACCGACAUCUCCCAAGCUGCAGAGGCUGAGGUCUGAGAGAAGGAGAGACCUGAGUACCCGCAGGAGGAGUGCUCGCCUUCGGGCAAGACAGGGAGGUGAGUCACUGGGGGAUCAGGACCGGCCGUUACCCCGACAGAGAGAAAAGGCUGCUGGACCCUGCCUCUGGUUGCGGGAGCAACAUUGCUGUUUGCCAGAAGCUGCCUGGGAUCCUGUGCCUGACCUUGCCUGGUUUUCUGCCUCGUGUCCUGCCUUGGCCCUGUCGGACUGACUCCUAGUGGAACCCUUAGAUUCAGGACCGGACCUGGACCGCGUUACUUGGGUUACCCCCAGGCCCAGCACAGACAGUCUCCACUGUGUCUUCAAUUCUCCAAAGGAGCAAAAACCCUAGAUGAGUGCCUGGGACCUCCUGUAAUCUUGCUCCCACUCAACAGAGUGUGGGGGCAGUGCCCAACUUUUGUAACAAUAUACAAAAUACAAAUUCUAAAAAUCUGGUCUUUGGUGGUGGUGUGGUGUGGGGGAAGUAAAAUAAUAAUAAUUAAAAAAUGCACAUUUGCAUUUGCAGAUAAAAGUUCCAAACUUGCAAUGUCACUUUUCAGGAAAGUGAAACUAGCAAAUAUUUCACCCUAGCUGUUUAAGAAGCUCUGUCCUUUAUUAUUGUUAAUGCACCAGCAAAGGUAGCCAGCAGUGAAAAGAGGCAUCUUUUGAAGGUUGUGCUGACUACAUUAGAAGCAAGCAUUAAUUCUUUGCACUGCUGCAUAUUACAAUAAAGCCAAUUGGUUUCAGGUUGUGUUAGAAAUGAUGCAAUAUAAAUGCAAGUUGUACAAAAGAGAUUCAGCUUUAUGCCUCAUAAAGCAGACAGAAUGGAAAAUCAAUAUAUCUUUAUGCAAGUGAUAGAGUUUAGAAUUAAUCACUGUACUUGGGUAAAGUAGCAGACCAUUUUCCUAAGCAGAAAGAAGUCAGAGUAAGAAGGGCAAAGUAAUUAACACUGAACAGGUAUGGAGUGAGAGCCGAGUGGAAGAUUUUGCAGUUCAUGACAGGUUGCUUUGGUGCCAGAAGUACAGCUGUCAGCAAUCAAAAAAUUAGUUUUCAUAGAAAACUUUGGUUCAGGGAGAAAUGGUUUAUAAUUUGAGCAAAAAUGUUCAAUUUAAAACUUGGUAGCUGGAGCAUAAGAAAUUUAUUCUAAAGUUAUGAUUAUUUAUAUUUUUUUAAAAAUCCUUCACUGGGAUUGUAAGCCAGGUUGCCAUCUGUUGCCAACAAUGUUAUUUCAAGCUUUGUACUCAUAGAAUCAUAGAACUGUAGAAUUGGAAGGGACCCUGGGGAUCAUCUAGUCCAACCCGCUGCAAUGCAGGAAUACAGUGGUACCUCGGGUUAAGAACUUAAUUCGUUCUGGAGGUCUGUUCUUAACCUGAAACUGUUCUUAACCUGAAGCACCACUUUAGCUAAUGGGGCCUCCUGCUGCCACUGCGCCGCCGGAGCACGAUUUCUGUUCUCAUCCUGAAGCAAAGUUCUUAACCCAAGAUACUAUUUCUGGAUUAGCAGAGUCUGUAACCUGAAGCGUAUGUAACCUGAGGUACCACUGUAUGCAGCUGCCCCAAACGGAGAUCUAACCUGCAACCUUUAUGUUGUCAGCACCAAUGCUCUAAUCAACUGUGAGCUAUAGACAGUAAGUUCAUUCUCUUGUGGCCUUAACUGUAUAGUCAUUUCCAUUGAUUGGCUGUAUACUACUUAUUUAUCUUACUAGUAAUGCUAAAUGAGAGGAUUGUGUAGUGAAACUGGCUUUUUCCCAAACUGAUGGGUUAUUUAUUUAUUUAUUUAUUUAUUUGCUUCCUUGCUAAUCAUAAGAAAUAAUCUUUGGUGCACCCCUAACAAUAUAACGUGAUAAUUGUCCCCAAAAAACAUGUGUUUUCAAGUGCCACUCCCUGUUUUGCUGCUGCUACUUUUAAAAAUGUUUUGCACUAUACUGCCCUGGAAUCUUGGGAUGAAGGGCGGUAUACAAAUUUAAUAAAUAAUCAGAUAGCUAAAACUGCAAAUCUGGGAGAGGUUCAGAAAAGGACAACCAAAAUGAUCGUGCAACUCCUUUGUGGGUAUUUGGGGCUUUUCAGAGAAAAGUCAUGUAAGAUGGGACCUGACAGAGGUGUUAAAUUCUACAAAACAUUGAAGCUCAAUGUUAGAAGACUCGGGAGGACAGAUGAAAAGAAGUACUUAAUCAUAGAAUCAUAUAAUUCUAGAGUUGAAAGUCAUCUAGUCCAACCCCCUGCAAUGCAGGAAUCUCAGCUAAAACAUCCAUGACAGAUGGCCAUCCAACCUCUGCUUAAAAACCUCCAAGGAAGGAGAGUCCACCACCUCCCAAGGGAGACCGUCCCACUGCCGAACAGCUCAUGGUGUCAGAAAGGUCUUCUUCCAGUUGUGUAGUCUGAAUCUCCUUUCUUGUAACUUGAUUCCAUUGGUUUGGUCCUACUCCGGAUCAGGAGAAGACAAGCUUGCUCCAUCUUCUUCACAGCAUAGCUAGUUCACGGCCUGUUGAAGGAUGAUGCCCAUCAACAGACUAACUAAUGAUGGAAUUCACUGCCGUGGAAAUGGUGACAUAUGCCAACUCAGAUGGCUCUAAAUGGGAUUAGACCAAUUCACAGAGAAGCAGCUUAUCAGUGGCCUACUGUAUAUGAUGGCUAUGUUCUGUCUCCAUUGUCGGAGGCGCCACUUCCUGGAAGUCACAAGCAAGGAGAAUGCUGCUGCCCUCAGGUCCUGCUUGGUCACUAUGUGACCAGAAUGCUGGACCAGAUGGGCCUUGGGUCUGAGUCAGCAGGGCUCCCCUCACCUUCUCACGAAAGCACAGCAUGCAGAAGCUCACAGCUUCUAAAUGAGCUAUUCCUCUGUGUUAGCUUUUCCGAUAAUGAAUAGCAUUUAGCACCAUUUUGACUUAAUUACCCAAGCACUUGCAAACAUUUAUUAACUUAAGCUUUUUAUUAUUAAUUGUGAUGCACAAUAACAAAAGGACUUAUUACAGUAGAAAGGAAACAAACCAUUAAUGACCCACAAUAUAUAAAGAUGUAAUUCCAAAAUGAUUACUGUUUGCUUGCAUCCUUUGGGAAGUGUCAGAAGAGAUUGGUAUAUAUACUGUAGACUAUUUGCUGAAGGUUGUCAGGUGGGAGAGUUUUAACCCUUUCCUAGUCCUCCUGUCUGGCUUCUCUGUUCCUCCUCCCCAUUCCCCGAUUCACAGGUCAUCGAGUGGCAGGGUGACUCUUGGGCCUCAGUGCUUUGCUUCCAAAAGCCAAACACUCUGUGCCCAAAGAGGAGCAUGAACUGCACCACCAGCACUACCCCCCAGAAAAUGAAAGCUGCAUUUGCCUUGGGAAGUGGGGAAAGAAGCAAAGUUCCUCAUUUCCCCCUUUCUUUUUCUCCUUCCCGUAACAGAGCUUCCAGUUUGCAGGUGAAGCGUAGCUAUCUUCAGGAAGGGGAGGGGGACGGUAGGACAGACAAUAUUCUUCCCACAUACCAUCCUUUGCAGGGCCCAAUCUACUCAGUGUCUGGCAGUGGGCAGAUUUGUUCCACCUAAAACCUUAUAAUAAUCCACAUCACAAAUUUAAAGCACAUUCCACAUACUUGACCUCUCCCAAAGAAUACUGGGAACUGUAGUUUGUUAAAGGUACUGGGGAUUAUAGCUGUGAGAAAGAAACUCCAGCUCCCAGUAUUCUUUGGGGAAGCCAUGUGCUUUAACUGUGUGUUGGCUGCACAUUAUGGUAUGGCUCUGCCCCUUAUCCUUAACGCAACAUUGUCCUUUCCCCCAUAGAAACAAAUAACAGCAGCCAAUUAUAUGGGCAAAAAUGCCCCUGGUGAUCCCAGUGUUCUGGCCUCCUUUCCACUUCAGUGGCAGCUUUCUUUCUUGGUUUUUGCUCCCCAGAACUUCAGUGGGAGCCACUGAGAAGAGAGUCAACCCCAAAACUUCUUGACUCCAUCAUAGACAUGAUUUCUUUCUCAGGCUUCUUCCAUCUGAUAGGAUGCUGGGAGAGUGAGGUGGAACAUUGAGAGCUGGCUUUGAGAGAAAUGAAGACACCAAGCAAUUCUCUAAAUCACACAAGCAAAAUACCCACUGUAUGUUGGCAGUACCUUUGUUUUCGAUUACAAUCCUAUUAUAAAGACGGGCAUUAUUCAGAGAGCUG
This is a non-coding RNA of Podarcis lilfordi (Lilford's wall lizard), 9437 nucleotides long. Lineage: Eukaryota; Metazoa; Chordata; Lepidosauria; Squamata; Lacertidae. The record is from the annotation of a GenBank genome assembly.